Clostridium baratii str. Sullivan is the source of this 198-nucleotide non-coding RNA. It matches the Rfam family "6S / SsrS RNA". Rfam says of the family: E. coli 6S RNA was the first non coding RNA to be sequenced, but its function was unknown until recently. It consists of 184 nucleotides that fold into an extended hairpin structure with a large single-stranded internal bulge. The 6S RNA specifically associates with RNA polymerase holoenzyme containing the sigma70 specificity factor. Lineage: Bacteria; Bacillati; Bacillota; Clostridia; Eubacteriales; Clostridiaceae. The record is from Rfam.
AAGUUCCUGAGAUGUUCGCCAGGCUUAUCAUAUUCAACCUACAUAUGAUAUCCGGGAUUUGCAAAAUUAUAAUGGAUGUCAGGCUCCAAGCUUUAUGCUUCAAAAUUUUUGACAGGAGAAGGCUGAGAUUAUAUGAGUAGAACCCACCUGCGAGGCGCAGGUUUUGAAUAUAUAAGCUAACGGCAUGUUGGGAGAAUU